Mytilus californianus (California mussel) is the source of this 3385-nucleotide long non-coding RNA. RefSeq lists it as uncharacterized. Lineage: Eukaryota; Metazoa; Mollusca; Bivalvia; Mytilida; Mytilidae. The record is from RefSeq and is a predicted model, not a curated record. The transcript has 2 exons.
UCUAUCAGAUUUCAGAUAUAUAUAUACAGUAGACUCCGGCAAAUCGAAUACCCAAAAUGUCAGCUAAAAAUAUCCGAUUACCCGAUAUAUUCAAUUAGACGAUGAAUGUAUAUUCAUUGAAUAUUCUUCAAUAAUGAGUAGAUGUAAUCCCGAGAUGUUAUUAACCCUGACAAUUGCUAAAUAUGUGAAAGGGCUGGAGGAUUGAUGGAGUGAUUUUUAUCAGUUACAUCACCACGAUGUUUGUGUAAAAAAUAAUCAGCUGAUUAUGUAAUGAUUAAAUUUAUUUGCAGUUUUUAAAUCCUUUAUUUAUUAAAAUAAAUCAAAUGUCCUGAAAUAUUUAUGUGAAUUAUUAUCUACCAUCCAUAGUUUGUCUUUAUUUGUUUUGUUAGCAAAUUAAUAUCCAUUAUUUACAUUAUCACACAGUGUGACAUGUGAUAAAACUAAUUUGGCUAUAAAUAGAUCUAAGCAUGUCUGUGUAGAAUCUCCAAACUAAAAUCGUAUUUGUUAUAAUAUUAUUUCUUUAAAUAAUCAAAUUUAAAUUUAUGAAAAUAAUCAUGAUUGAUAAAAUAUUAUUGCAUAAAGUUUACGUUUUCUGAAGACUAUUUAUAUUUAGGUCAUAGUUCUAGAGGCUUCCUCACAAAUUUGUAAACAUCCAAAAUGGCGUCCAUGACAUGUGGUUACUUUUGCACAUGUGAAAAAAAUAUAUCUGACAAAAGUCAGAUUUCUCUUGUCAAAAGGGAUUUAUAUUUAUAUUGCAAUAAAUUAUUCAGAAGGAGGUUAAUUCAGUGUAGAUUAUAUUUCUGAUUCUGUGAACGUUUAGAGUUUAAUCAAAAUUCUCCAAACAGCAACGUCAACUUGUCAACUGAGUCUUGCAUAUUUUAUAAAUAAAUUCAAACCAUUUGAAGUAAAAGGGCAUCUAAUUCACAUGACAAAGGAAGACAAUGAUUAAGGAAUUGUUCCUUUUAUUUAGUAAAAACAAAAUCUUCUUGUCUGCAAGAUUGUAAAUUUGUAACUUCCGGGUCCAUUUCCUGUCAGAAAAACAUUGAAAAUAUCCGAUUGUGCAUGGUUUUGAACAAAAUGACCUGAAUAUUCUUAUCCGAUUUGCCGAUAUAUUCUUAUAUCCGAUAUUCGAUUACACGAUAAAAUUAACAUUAAACAUAUAGGGAAGGGUUUGGUGUUUUGAAAUAAUAUUACAAUAGCCUAUAUAUUCGUUUAGCGGAUAUCCGAUUAGGUGGAGUCUACUGUACAAUAGAAUUUAUUUAUUCACAUGACCAUUGGAGGUACAGAGAGUAUGCAAAAUAUGUACACGAAUAUGCAUCUAUUUACAAAACAUAUAUACAAUACAAAAUAAUAUACAUUUUAGCCAGGAGGACUCAGAUGUUUAAUUAUACACUUUAUAAACUUACAAUUAAAUGUUAUUUACAUGAAGCAAGUGACUAUUAAAUAUAAAAUAUUUAUUGAAGCAAAUUGUAAUUUGUUUCUUCUAAUUUUGAAAAGAGAUCAAAGAAAGAGUUAUGUAUUUUUAUUACACCAUGAAUAGAAUUUUACAUAAAUGAGUUUGAUUCUUUUUUUUUCAAGAAUUUGAAUGAUUGUUUUCUCAUUUUGUAUUUUCUAUAUCUUUUAAAUUAUAUACUUCCAACUUCUAUAUUAUUUAUUUUAUUAAAGAAAUUCCUUAUGCAGUCCGCGGAAAUUAUUUAUUUUAUUAAAGAAAAUUUAAAACUACAAAGGUAUCCUGCACAAGGCACGGGCAUACCUUAUGCAGUCGGCGAAAAUUAUUUAUUUUAUCAAAGAAAAUUUAAAACUACAAAGGUACCCUGCACAAGGCACGGGCAUACCUUAUGCAGUCCGCGAAAAUUAUUUAUUUUAUCAAAGAAAAUUUAAAACUACAAAGGUACCCUGCACAAGGCACGGGCAUACCUUAUGCAGUCCGCGAAAAUUAUUUAUUUUAUCUAAGAAAAUUGAAAACUACAAAGGUACCCUGCACAAGGCACGGGCAUACCUUAUGCAGUCAGCGAAAAUUAUUUAUUUUAUUAAAAAAAAUUUAAUACUACAAAGGUAUCCUGCACAAAACUAACUGAUGCAUUCAGCGGAAACAUUAAAGUUAUUCUAUUCCCAAAAGUUAUUUUUCAGAUUAGGAAACAAAAUCAGUAAGCAAAUGGUAAGGAUAUGAUAUUUGACAAUACAGAUAUAUAUUGAAAUGAAGUUUAUUCAUUGUUCUUAUGUCUCUGGAUGGGUUUUUGUUUUUUUGAAAGAUGUUGUUCUUUCAUUUAUCUUUCUUUUUCUUUGUCCUAUUUUUUUCCCAAGGGAUCUUGGUUUGAUUACUGUCAUUUUGCCAUCGCUGGAAAUUGACACUUUGUUGUCUUUAGGGACGAAUCUCCUAAAUCUUUUAAACAGUCUGUUUCUCUCCUUGCUGGUUUUAUUUAUCCAAAUGUUUGUGGGUAGCCGCCAAUCUAUACUGCCCCGUGCUGACAAUAGAUCGGAGAAGGUCCUUGUAUUGAGUCCUGAUGGCAUCCUCAAUGAUUUGUACCAAGUCCAAGAGAGGUUUGGAUUCCCAUGCAAUGGACCUUUUGAGCACAUGGUUUAAAGACUCACUGUUGUUGUUAGUCCAUGGCUUAUCGAAGUGGCCUUCAGGGAGAUCGGUCUCCCAUAGCUGAUGGAUAUUCUUUUUCAGGCGGUUUUCAAAAUAUCUAUGAAAGCUAUUUGUUGAUUCCAUGGACUGCUUACUUAUCUCCUCACUUUUGGCUUCAAAACAAAUUAUAUCAUCAGCAGUUAAAAGGCCAGAUGUCCCAAAGAUGGAGUCCAAAAUGACAUCUCGGUCUUUCUUAUUGACAGCGUCGUCUAUAAAUUUCUGUUUGGCAUUUUGUCGUAAGUGGCGCGUACAUAAAAUUUGUCCAGAGUGAGGAAAUGCUUCUUUAACUGCGUUUAUCAAACCUAUUUCCUCAACAGUACCAAAGACCAGUUGUGAAGUAUCAAUACCGCGGAAUUUAUCUUUUAGAUGAUUGAAGAAAUUGACGAAGCAUUCAAAGUCACUAUUGUUGUGUAUAAAUACGGGUCCGAGAAAAAUGGGGGGUUCUGAAGUUGUUUCCAUAUUUUCUGCAAAUAUGUAAUUUAUGCUGUAAAUACGUUUUUGUUUUAUUUACUGUAUUAUUUAUUAAUAUCGUUUAAUGAUUAUUUGUAUAAUUCAUAUUAUGACAUCGUAUUAUAUAUAUAAUUAUGUAUUAAUUGAAGAAAAAUGAUUGCAUUGUGUAGAGUUGUUUACUGUUUAUCUACUGCAUUAUUAUAAAUUUGUUUAUUUGUCAUUGCUUGAACCACAUGUGUGUACUUUUGUAAUACAGACUGUAAAUAAUAGGAUUAAAAUGUACUGAUAUCAUUAAGGGACAUCAAU